GAUGAACGCUGGCGGCGUGCCUAAUACAUGCAAGUCGAGCGAACAGACGAGGAGCUUGCUCCUCUGACGUUAGCGGCGGACGGGUGAGUAACACGUGCAUAACCUACCUAUAAGACUGGGAUAACUUCGUGAAACCGGAGCUAAUACCGCAGAAUAUAUUGAACCGCAUGAUUCAAUAGUUAAAGACGGCUUUGCUGUCACUUAUAGAUGGAUCCGCGCCGCAUUAGCUAGUUGGUAAGGUAACGGCUUACCAAGGCAACGAUGCGUAGCCGACCUGAGAGGGUGAUCGGCCACACUGGAACUGAGACACGGUCCAGACUCCUACGGGAGGCAGCAGUAGGGAAUCUUCCGCAAUGGGCGAAAGCCUGACGGAGCAACGCCGCGUGAGUGAUGAAGGUCUUCGGAUCGUAAAACUCUGUUAUUAGGGAAGAACAACUGUGUAAGUAACUAUGCACGUCUUGACGGUACCUAAUCAGAAAGCCACGGCUAACUACGUG
Molecule: ribosomal RNA, 497 nt
Filed under: uncultured bacterium
Lineage: Bacteria
Description: partial 16S ribosomal RNA
Rfam family: Bacterial small subunit ribosomal RNA
Source: RNAcentral